UGACUCGCGCACGUAUUAAAUAUCUUAAUUCCACCACUUUUUUCUUUUACUCAUACUUGCAAAUUCCAAUUCCAAUUCCAAUUCUCCCAUUUUUCAAUCACUAAAAACACUAAAAAUACUUGUACAGUUGUACCAGUAAACGCACUUCAUUACUCCAUUAUUUUCUCAGCUUCAACUCUCUCUUUGUCUCUCCUUAAACUCAUCAUCUAUUCGGCAAACAUGGCAGAUUAGAAGUAAUUCACCCAAAUUACUCAGGUAUUGCAAAUUUGCAAGCCAAUUUGUCAUCCACACCCAGCUAGCAGCAUUGCCCAUUUGCCAACCUGACCAUGAACAAUUUGAAACUGGGAGUACAUGUGGUAAGUGCACACGAUCUUAUGCCAAAAGAUGGCCAAGGAUCAUCAAGUGCAUUUGCUGAGCUUCAUUUUGACGGACAGAAAUUCCGAACCACUAUCAAGGAAAAGGAUCUCAGCCCAGUUUGGGACGAGACCUUCUAUUUCAAUAUAACUGAUCCAUCUGUCCUCCCUCAUCUCGCUCUUGAUGUUUAUGUAUACAAUCAUAACAGAGCCACAAACUCGAGGUCAUUUCUUGGUAAGGUCUCCCUUAGUGGGACUUCAUUUGUUCCCCACUCUGAUGCAGUUGUCUUGCAUUACCCUCUGGAAAAGCGUGGCAUCUUCUCUCGCAUCAAAGGAGAGCUUGGUCUCAAAGUUUUUAUCACAAAUGAUCCAACCAUUAAGUCGUCCACUCCUGCUGCUGAAACUAAUGUAAGUGUAAACCAUGCUCAGGCUCCAAAAUCUGAAGUCAGACACACCUUCCGUCAUUUACCUAACACCAGCCAUUCUCAUUCUCAUGAUCAUUCCCAUUCUCAUUCUCAUCCGCAUCCUCAUCAAGACCAUCAACAUAAUCAUGGUGGUCCUGUGGACGCUUCUCGUGAGGCAACUUAUCAAGAAGUUGAAGAAAUGAAAAUGAAAGCUCAAGCACCACCACCCAAGAUUGUCAGGAUGCACUCUGCUUCUGCCGCACAACCAGUUGACUUUGCUCUCAAAGAGACAAGCCCAUACCUUGGAGGGGGACGAGUAAUUGGGGGACGUAUUGUUCAUGCAGAUAAAACUUCAAGCACAUAUGAUCUUGUGGAACGGAUGCAGUUCCUUUAUGUCAGAGUUGUUAAAGCCCAUGAUCUUCCUAAUAUGGAUCUUACUGGUAGUAUUGACCCUUUUGUGGAGGUGAGAAUAGGAAACUAUAAAGGUGUGACCAAGCACCUAGAUAAGAAUGACCAUCCGGAAUGGAAUGUGGUGUUUGCCUUUUCGAAGGAUCGUUUGCAGGCCUCAGUUCUUGAAGUAAAAGUCAAGGACAAGGAUUUAAUUAAAGAUGAUUUUGUUGGCAUUUUAAGAUUUGAUUUGCAUGAGGUGCCAAGCAGGGUUCCCCCAGAUAGUCCAUUAGCUCCUCAAUGGUACCGUCUUGAGGAUAAGAAGGGUGAAAAGGCAAAAGGUGAAUUAAUGCUGGCUGUCUGGCUUGGUACUCAAGCUGAUGAAGCAUAUUCAGAAGCAUGGCAUUCUGAUACAGCUGGUAUUGAUAUUCAGUCUUCUGCUGCUUCAGCACUUCUGCGUUCAAAGGUUUAUCAUGCCCCAAGGCUGUGGUAUGUACGUGUUAAUGUUAUUGAAGCACAGGAUUUGAUACCUACUGAAAAAAACCGAUUUCCUGAAGUUUUCUGCAAGGCACAGAUUGGUCACCAGAUUAUGAAGACUAAACCUGUUCAGACUCGUACACUGAACUCCCUUUGGAAUGAGGAUCUACUGUUUGUCGCAGCAGAGCCCUUUGAUGACCAUCUGGUUAUCACUGUUGAGGAUCGUGUGGCUCCUGGUAAAGAUGAGAUCAUUGGGAGAGUCAUCAUCCCCUUGACUCAAGUUGAUAGGCGUGCAGAUGACCGGCUCAUUCCUUCUCGGUGGUUUCAUCUUGAGAAGCCGGUUGCUGUGGAUAUUGAUCAACUGAAGAAAGAGAAGUUUGCCAGCCGGCUUCAUCUUCGUGUAUGUUUAGAUGGAGGUUAUCAUGUUCUUGAUGAGUCCACUCAUUACAGCAGUGAUCUUCGCCCCACGGCAAAACAGCUCUGGAAGCCUACAAUAGGUGUCUUAGAACUGGGCAUUUUAAGUGCCGAAGGACUCCACCCAAUGAAAACAAGGGAUGGGAGAGGUACAUCAGAUACGUAUUGUGUUGCAAAGUAUGGUCAUAAGUGGAUCAGAACAAGGACACUUGUUGACAGCCUCUCUCCAAAAUACAAUGAGCAGUAUACUUGGGAAGUUUUUGACCCAGCAACAGUUAUAACAGUGGGUGUGUUUGACAACUGUCAAAUUGGAGGGAAGGAAUCAAGUGGAGGGCACAAGGACGUCAAGAUAGGGAAGGUACGGAUACGUAUCUCUACCCUUGAAACUGGUCGUAUCUAUACACAUUCAUAUCCUUUGCUUGUUCUUCAACCAAACGGAGUUAAAAAGAUGGGGGAGCUGCAUUUGGCUCUUAGGUAUUCCUGCACUUCAUUUGCGAACAUGAUGUAUCAAUAUUCACGUCCACUCUUACCAAAAAUGCACUAUGUUAGACCCUUCACAGUAAUGCAGCAGGACAUGCUACGUUUUCAAGCCAUGAAUAUAGUUGCUAUGAGGCUUGGCCGAGCAGAACCUCCACUCCGAAAGGAGGUGGUGGAGUACAUGUCUGAUGUGGAUGCCCAUCUCUGGAGCAUGCGGAGAAGCAAGGCAAAUUUCUUCCGCCUCAUGUCAGUCUUCUCAGGAUUAUUUGCUGUUGGAAAAUGGUUUGGUGAUGUAUGCAUGUGGAGAAAUCCUAUAACGACAGUCCUCGUCCACAUUCUCUUUCUUAUGCUUGUUUGCUUUCCCGAACUGAUCUUGCCUACCGUCUUCCUCUACAUGUUUUUGAUUGGGAUUUGGAACUAUAGGUACCGCCCUAGGUACCCUCCACAUAUGAAUAUUAAGAUCUCCCAGGCCGAUACUUCCCUUCCUGAUGAACUUGAUGAGGAGUUUGACACUUUCCCAACUAGUAAGAGUCCGGAGCUUGUGAGAAUGAGGUAUGAUCGGCUGAGGAGUGUGGCUGGAAGGAUUCAAACCGUGGUUGGUGAUGUUGCAACUCAAGGUGAGCGGUUCCAGGCUCUCUUAAGCUGGCGGGAUCCACGUGCUACAGCCAUCUUUGUGACGUUCUGUCUUGUAGCUGCUAUUGUGCUGUAUGUUACUCCAUUCCAAGUGAUUGCUGCUUUAGCUGGGUUCUAUGCCCUGAGACAUCCUAGGUUUCGCUAUCGCUUGCCAUCAGUGCCCAUCAACUUCUUCCGUCGUCUGCCUGCUAGGACUGACAGUAUGCUGUAGAUUUGAGGUCAGAUUAUUUAAGGCAUGUCUUAGAUCUUGCUUUAACUUUUGAUUUUUAAGUUAUUGUGUAGUUUUUUUUAGUGAUUUGCCUUUACAGCAAGCAUUUUGUACAAUAAUAAACUGUACUUCUGUUUCUCAAUCAAGAAAAUAAAGAAAAAAAAAAAACCACCAUAUGAGUAAAUUAACUAUGAAGUGCUUGUGGAUUUCCUUUCUGAAGUGUUGUCUACCCUAACAGAAUAGAUUGGAAGUUUGUGAUAGUUUUUUGUUUUGUUUUGUUUUGUGAUAGGUUUUUUAGUCCCUGCCCAUAAGGUGCAAGGUCGUAUACGGACGUAACCAAGUACGCGUUGUGCUUUAAGACUGCGUACACGCACAUAGAUGACCAGAUGAGAGGCCUUUAAUCAAGGGUUACAGAGUACCCAAAAAAUUACUCUCAGACAAUUUUGAUAACCACCAAACCAGAUGGUAUACCGUAACUAAUCUUGAUUAUUAGGAAACAAUCCUAACUUUAUAGUACUGAAUAUCUUAAAGAUAAACUGAGUAUACACUAAAUCAAAACCUUAUAACAGUAGCUUUCAAAAAAACCCUUAUAACUGUAUGUAAAAUGUACCACAAUAUUUAUAAUUCCCAAAUCUCAAAUAUUUCAAAAUCUCACUAAAUCAAAACCUUAAAUAUACCACAAAUUUACAAUAUGUAAUUUCCCAAAUCUCAAAUAUUUCAAAAUCUCACUAAAUCAAAACCUUAAAUAUACCACCAAUCCACAAUUUAUAAUUUCCCAAAUCUCAAAUAUUUCAAAAUCGCACUAAAUCAAAACCUUAUAACAGUACGUAAAAUAUACCACAAUAUUUAUAAUUUCCCAAAUCUCAGUUAAAUCAAAACCUUAUAACAGUAUGUAAAAUAUACCACAAUAUUUAUAAUUUUCCCUAAUCUCAAAUAUUUCAAAAUCUCCUAACAGUAAUGAAUAUUAUAAUUGCAAUCAAUAUAUUAUUUGACUAAUUAAAGGUCCUAAUUUAAAUUUGAAAAGCAAAAGUGAUUAAAGUGAACAAUCAACAUCCCACCACCCCAUAAAGAAUAUUCUUACUUGAACAUCUAAAUCUAGUCAAUUAAACGCGUUUAAAAUACUUAACAACCAAUGGUAAAACGAAAGAAAGGAGUAUCAAACUUGUAUUCAUACAAAUUUAUGACCCACUUUACAUUAAUUUAGUAUUAAUGAAAAAGAAAUGAAGUAUUAAAAUAGGCAAGUGUAAUUAGCAAGGAAAGUUAGAAAGUAUUAAACUAAUGAUAUUAGGGGAGAAAUCAAAUCAAGUAUAAUCAUUUUACUUGUAUUUUAAGAGCCACCAUCAAAUAAACAAUACAAAUCAAGAUAAACAAAGUGCUAAGAAUAUAUACAGCAAGCAGAGAAAAUUAAUCCAACCACCGGAGUCGGCGUCGAACGUGGUAACCUUUGAGACUAUGCACGUGUAUAAGCUGUUUCCGACCCUUUUGCCUAAUAGAGGGGUUGUAACAGAUUGGAGGGACCAGAUCCUGUGUUCUCUGAUCUUAUAAUAUACGAUGUAAUGUUAUACUUUCAAUUAUAAACAUGGGAAUAUCAAGUUAAUGAUUA
Molecule: RNA transcript, 4956 nt
Organism: Chenopodium quinoa (quinoa)
Lineage: Eukaryota; Viridiplantae; Streptophyta; Magnoliopsida; Caryophyllales; Amaranthaceae
Gene name: FT-interacting protein 1-like
Exons: 3
Source: RefSeq, a predicted model, not a curated record